GAUCGGCCCGCGUUAGAUUAGUUAGUUGGUGGGGUAAUGGCCUACCAAGGACUACGAUCUAUAGCUGGUUUGAGAGGAUGAUCAGCCACACAUGGGACUGGGACACGGCCCAGACUCCUACGGGGAGGCAGCAGGUGGGGAAUCUUAGACAAUGGGGGCAACCCUGAUCUAGCGAUGCCGCGUGAGUGAUGAAGGCCUUAGGGUCGUAAAGCUCUUUCGCCUGUGAUGAUAAUGACAGUAGCAGGUAAAGAAACCCCGGCUAACUCCGUGCCAGCAGCCGCGGUAAUACGGAGGGGGUUAGCCGUUGUUCGGGAAUUACUGGGCGUAAAGCGCACGUAGGCGGAUUAGUCAGUCAGAGGUGAAAUCCCAGGGCUCAACCCUGGAACUGCCUUUGAUACUGCUAGUCUUGAGUUCGAGAGAGGUAAGUGGAAUUCCGAGUGUAGAGGUGAAAUUCGGUAGAUAUUCGGAGGAACACCAGUGGCGAAGGCGGCUUACUGGCUCGAUACUGACGCUGAAGUGCGAAAGUGUGGGGAGCAAACAGGAUUAGAUACCCUGGU
This 557-nucleotide ribosomal RNA is filed under the name Celeribacter halophilus. Its description in RNAcentral is "bacterial SSU rRNA". It matches the Rfam family "Bacterial small subunit ribosomal RNA", at positions 224 to 791 of the family's 1533-position model. The record is from RNAcentral. Lineage: Bacteria; Pseudomonadati; Pseudomonadota; Alphaproteobacteria; Rhodobacterales; Roseobacteraceae.